Molecule: ribosomal RNA, 425 nt
Filed under: SAR11 cluster bacterium enrichment culture clone PSHTC-030
Lineage: Bacteria; Pseudomonadati; Pseudomonadota; Alphaproteobacteria; Candidatus Pelagibacterales
Description: bacterial SSU rRNA
Rfam family: Bacterial small subunit ribosomal RNA
Source: RNAcentral
GCGAGUCGACGAAGUAGCAAUACUUAGUGGCAGACGGGUGAGUAACAUGUGGGUAUCUACCCUUUGGCCUGGAAUAACACGAGGAAACUUGUGCUAAUACCGGAUAAGUCUUUACGGAGAAAGCUUUAUGCACCAUUGGAUGAGCCCGCACUUGAUUAGUUUGUUGGUAGGGUAAUGGCCUACCAAGACUAUGAUCAAUAGCUGAUUUGAGAGGAUGAUCAGCCACAUUGGGACUGAGACACGGCCCAAACUCCUACGGGAGGCAGCAGUGGGGAAUCUUGCACAAUGGAGGAAACUCUGAUGCAGCGAUGCCGCGUGAGUGAAGAAGGCCUUUGGGUUGUAAAGCUCUUUCGUCGGGGAAGAAAAUGACUGUACCCGAAUAAGAAGGUCCGGCUAACUUCGUGCCAGCCGCCCGGGGUAAUACA